UACGGAGGAUGCAAGCGUUAUCCGGAAUCAUUGGGCGUAAAGCGUUCGUAGGUGGCUAUUCAAGUCUGCUGUCAAAGACUGGGGCUUAACCCCAGAAAGGCGGUGGAAGCUGAAAGGCUAGAGUCCGGUAGGGGCAGAGGGAAUUCCCGGUGGAGCGGUGAAAUGCGUAGAGAUCGGGAAGAACGCCAAGGGCGAAGGCA
Molecule: ribosomal RNA, 200 nt
Filed under: uncultured prokaryote
Description: partial 16S ribosomal RNA
Rfam family: Bacterial small subunit ribosomal RNA
Source: RNAcentral